Molecule: ribosomal RNA, 162 nt
Filed under: Ctenolepisma longicaudatum (long-tailed silverfish)
Lineage: Eukaryota; Metazoa; Arthropoda; Insecta; Zygentoma; Lepismatidae
Description: Ctenolepisma longicaudata (long-tailed silverfish) 5.8S ribosomal RNA
Rfam family: 5.8S ribosomal RNA
About the family: 5.8S ribosomal RNA (5.8S rRNA) is a component of the large subunit of the eukaryotic ribosome.
Source: RNAcentral
ACACAACCCUGAACGGUGGAUCACUUGGCUCGUGGGUCGAUGAAGAACGCAGCUAGCUGCGUGACUAUAUGUGAACUGCAGGACACAUGAACAUCGUCGUUUCGAACGCACAUUGCGACUCAGGAUCCUUUUCCUGGGUCACACCUGUCUGAGGGUCGGCUU